RNAcentral lists this ribosomal RNA (681 nucleotides) under uncultured nitrite-oxidizing bacterium. Its description in RNAcentral is "bacterial SSU rRNA". It matches the Rfam family "Bacterial small subunit ribosomal RNA", at positions 21 to 696 of the family's 1533-position model. The record is from RNAcentral.
GGCUCAGAACGAACGCUGGCGGCGCGCCUAACACAUGCAAGUCGAGCGAGAAGGUGUAGCAAUACACUUGUAAAGCGGCGAACGGGUGAGGAAUACAUGGGUAAUCUACCAUCGAGUGGGGAAUAACCAGCCGAAAGGUUGGCUAAUACCGCGUACGCCUCCGGAUCUUCGGGUUCGGAGGGAAAGCCACACUGUGAGUGCGGCGCUCUUUGAUGAGCUCAUGUCCUAUCAGCUUGUUGGUAGGGUAACGGCCUACCAAGGCUUUGACGGGUAGCUGGUCUGAGAGGACGAUCAGCCACACUGGCACUGCGACACGGGCCAGACUCCUACGGGAGGCAGCAGUAAGGAAUAUUGCGCAAUGGACGAAAGUCUGACGCAGCGACGCCGCGUGGGGGAUGAAGGUCUUCGGAUUGUAAACCCCUUUCGGGAGGGAAGAUGGAGUGGGUAACCACUUGGACGGUACCUCCAGAAGCAGCCACGGCUAACUUCGUGCCAGCAGCCGCGGUAAUACGAAGGUGGCAAGCGUUGUUCGGAUUCACUGGGCGUACAGGGAGCGUAGGCGGUUGGGUAAGCCCUCCGUGAAAUCUCCGGGCCUAACCCGGAAAGUGCAGAGGGGACUGCUCAGCUAGAGGAUGGGAGAGGAGCGCGGAAUUCCCGGUGUAGCGGUGAAAUGCGUGGAGA